UACGGGGGGGGCAAGCGUUGUUCGGAAUUACUGGGCGUAAAGGGCUCGUAGGCGGCCAACUAAGUCAGACGUGAAAUCCCUCGGCUUAACCGGGGAACUGCGUCUGAUACUGGAUGGCUUGAGUUUGGGAGAGGGAUGCGGAAUUCCAGGUGUAGCGGUGAAAUGCGUAGAUAUCGGAAGGAACAUCAGUGGCGAAAGCGGCUUCCUGGACCGACACUGACGCUGAGGCGCGAAAGCCAGGGGAGCAAACGGG
Molecule: ribosomal RNA, 253 nt
Filed under: uncultured bacterium
Lineage: Bacteria
Description: partial 16S ribosomal RNA
Rfam family: Bacterial small subunit ribosomal RNA
Source: RNAcentral